GACGAACGCUGGCGGCGUGCCUAAUACAUGCAAGUCGAGCGAAGUUUUUCUGGUGCUUGCACUAGAAAAACUUAGCGGCGAACGGGUGAGUAACACGUAAAGAACCUGCCUCAUAGACUGGGACAACUAUUGGAAACGAUGGCUAAUACCGGAUAACAGUAUUUCUCGCAUGAGAGAUAUUUAAAAGUUGGUUAUGCUAACACUAUGAGAUGGCUUUGCGGUGCAUUAGCUAGUUGGUGGGGUAAAGGCCCACCAAGGCGACGAUGCAUAGCCGACCUGAGAGGGUGAUCGGCCACACUGGGACUGAGACACGGCCCAGACUCCUACGGGAGGCAGCAGUAGGGAAUCUUCCGCAAUGGGCGAAAGCCUGACGGAGCAACGCCGCGUGAGUGAAGAAGGAUUUCGGUUCGUAAAGCUCUGUUGUUAGGGAAGAAUGGAUAUGUAGUAACUAUACAUGUAAGAGACGGUACCUAACCAGAAAGCCACGGCUAACUACGUG
RNAcentral lists this ribosomal RNA (499 nucleotides) under uncultured bacterium. Its description in RNAcentral is "partial 16S ribosomal RNA". It matches the Rfam family "Bacterial small subunit ribosomal RNA", at positions 28 to 507 of the family's 1533-position model. The record is from RNAcentral.